RNAcentral lists this ribosomal RNA (579 nucleotides) under Sporobolomyces blumeae. RNAcentral describes it as "partial large subunit ribosomal RNA". It matches the Rfam family "Eukaryotic large subunit ribosomal RNA", at positions 62 to 655 of the family's 3401-position model. The record is from RNAcentral. Lineage: Eukaryota; Fungi; Basidiomycota; Microbotryomycetes; Sporidiobolales; Sporidiobolaceae.
AAACUAACAAGGAUUCCCCUAGUAGCGGCGAGCGAAGCGGGAAAAGCUCAAAUUUGUAAUCUGGCGCCUUCGGCGUCCGAGUUGUAAUCUCGAGAAAUGUUUUCCGUGUUAGACCGCAUACAAGUCUCUUGGAACAGAGCGUCAUAGUGGUGAGAACCCAGUACACGAUGCGGAUGCCUAAUACUUUGUGAUACAUUUUCGAAGAGUCGAGUUGUUUGGGAAUGCAGCUCAAAUUGGGUGGUAAAUUCCAUCUAAAGCUAAAUAUUGGCGAGAGACCGAUAGCGAACAAGUACCGUGAGGGAAAGAUGAAAAGCACUUUGGAAAGAGAGUUAACAGUACGUGAAAUUGUUGGAAGGGAAACACAUGCAGUCAGACUUGCUAUUCGGGGCAACUCGAUUGGCAGGCCCGCAUCAGUUUUUCGGGGCGGAAAAGCAUAGAGAGAAGGUAGCAGUUUCGGCUGUGUUAUAGCUCUUUAUUGGAUUCGCCCUGGGGGACUGAGGAACGCAGCGUGCUUUUAGCAUGAGCUUCGGCUUAUCCACGCUUAGGAUGCGGGUGUAAUGGCUGUAUAUGACCCGUCUU